This 421-nucleotide ribosomal RNA is filed under the name Acidobacteriota bacterium. Its description in RNAcentral is "Acidobacteria bacterium partial 16S ribosomal RNA". It matches the Rfam family "Bacterial small subunit ribosomal RNA", at positions 355 to 776 of the family's 1533-position model. The record is from RNAcentral. Lineage: Bacteria; Pseudomonadati; Acidobacteriota.
UGGGGAAUCUUGCGCAAUGGCCUAACGGCUGACGCAGCGACGCCGCGUGUGGGAUGAAGCUCUUCGGAGUGUAAACCACUGUUGCCCGGGACGAAUAGCUCGAUUAAUCGAGCCUGACGGUACCGGGUGAGGAAGCACCGGCUAACUCCGUGCCAGCAGCCGCGGUAAUACGGGGGGUGCGAGCGUUGUCCGGAAUCACUGGGCGUAAAGGGCGCGUAGGUGGUUUGAUAAGGGUGUGGUGAAAGCCCGGAGCUCAACUCCGGGUCUGCCGUGCCGACUGUCAAACUCGAGGACUGUAGAGGCAGACGGAAUUCCGGGUGUAGCGGUGGAAUGCGUAGAGAUACGGAGGAAGACCGGUGGCGAAGGCGGUCUGCUGGGCAGUUUCUGACACUGAGGCGGGACAGCGUGGGGAGCAAACAGG